This 904-nucleotide long non-coding RNA is filed under the name Nicotiana tabacum (common tobacco). Its description in RNAcentral is "long non-coding RNA (NTAB_LNC007671)". Lineage: Eukaryota; Viridiplantae; Streptophyta; Magnoliopsida; Solanales; Solanaceae. The record is from RNAcentral.
CAGACGUUGGCAUUACACCAGAAAAGAUAUCAGUUAAUUUAGUUUGAAAAAUUGGCACUGUGCGGGAACUUUGGUAGAGAAAUCAAAGCAAUCAGGUAUAUUAAUAUCAAUAUCCUUUCGUUUGUAUGUGCAUUUAAGUUGGAGCAAGUGGUCUUUAAUAAUUAGAGGGUAGGGAUUUCGCUGAUUGGGAAUUGGAAAUUUUAAAAGUGCUUAGUCUCAACUUUCAGCAGUUGAACGAAAAACCACUGCCAACUUAAAUUGGAAACUUGCUUUACGUGAUUUGUAUAUAUAAUUGGGAUGGUGAUUAUUAUUCAUGUAUUACAAUUAUUAGGUAAUAAUUGGGGGGCAAAAUAACUUACUAAUUAUUAUAAUAACUAAUUAGUUAAUGGUUUAAUAAAAAUUAUAUGAAAUUCCAAGGUUGGAGUAGUCUGUUUUGGAAUAAAGUUUCUGCUACUACAAUUUUAUCUCUUUAAUUUAAGAUUUAAUGGCCACCUAAUGAUUGGGUAAUAAGGAGGAAAGCAUAUGAUUGUGUAAUAAUGAUUUAAGUAUUGGGGACUUAAGAAUGCAUUCUACCGUUGCUGGUUUUAAAUUUGGAUACUAAGGAUUAGCCAAUAAAUUGUAGUAAUAAGAUGAUUGACAGUGAAUAGAAUAAUGAGGUUAGGUGGAUUAAGUAAUUAAAAUAUAUUCGGCAAAUUGAUGAUGAAAUAUAAAACUCAAGAGGAUUUAGGUAUUCUACAUUAGUGAUGGAUUUAGCCUAAAUGAGAAAAUUAACAUGGGAUCGAUAUUAUGUAAUUAUAGAUUGAUUGGAGGAAUUUAUACGAAUCGCACGAGAUGAAGCAUUUUGUAUUUCGGCACGAGUACUGUGAGUAGUAAUCUUACCACAAUUUGUAUUUUCAUAACUUGC